This 477-nucleotide ribosomal RNA is filed under the name uncultured bacterium. RNAcentral describes it as "bacterial SSU rRNA". It matches the Rfam family "Bacterial small subunit ribosomal RNA", at positions 48 to 507 of the family's 1533-position model. The record is from RNAcentral.
CUUAGGCAUGCAAGUCGAACGAGAAAGUUUCCUUCGGGGAGCGAGUAUAUGGCAAAAGGGUGAGUAAUGAUUAGUUAACCUACCCCUAAAACUGGGAUAACUACCCGAAAGGGUUGCUAAUACCGGAUGGUCUAUGAGAGAUGCAUAUCUUUUAUAGUAAAGGCGCUCGCAAGGGUGUCGAUUAGGGAGGGGAUUAAUUCCCUAUUAGCUAGUUGGUGAGGUAAUGGCUCUACCAAGGCAUUGAUGGGUAACCGAUCUGAGAGGAUGACCGGUCACACUGGGACUGAGACACUGCCCAGACUCCUACGGGAGGCUGCAGUCGCGAAUAUUCCGCAAUGGACGCAAGUCUGACGGAGCGACGCCGCGUGUGGGAUGAAGGCCUUAGGGUUGUAAACCACUGUCACACUUUAAGAAAUCAAUUAGGGUAACUCCUAGUUGUUGACAAAGGAGUGGAAGGAAGUCACGGCUAACUACGUG